UGCAAACGGUGCUGCGCGAAUGGUCGCCU
This 29-nucleotide small RNA is filed under the name Bombyx mori (domestic silkworm). RNAcentral's name for it is "ovarian small RNA-33248". Lineage: Eukaryota; Metazoa; Arthropoda; Insecta; Lepidoptera; Bombycidae. The record is from RNAcentral.